This 768-nucleotide long non-coding RNA is filed under the name Marmota monax (woodchuck). The record is from RNAcentral. Lineage: Eukaryota; Metazoa; Chordata; Mammalia; Rodentia; Sciuridae.
UUUUUAAAGAAAUCCACGAGUUCACACGAAUGCUCAAAAAAUAGAAUAAAAUGGGUGUGUGUAAAGGCUAUUCGUUACUGAAGAAGGCCAACUACUAAAUGUAUGUAGAAAAACUGGGAUAGAAAAGAGCCAUUUACUCAUAUGUUAGUGAUAACGGAUUCUGGGAAGAACUACCAUAGAAUGAUAAAAACCAUUGGAUGAAAGAUUGUUGGGGAACAGGAUCCUCAUUCAACUUCAAAGCAUCACAUGAUCAGGUAUUUACAAGGCAGAAAAGGUGCCUCUACAACUGAGAAAUCUGGUGGACUUCACCUUAACCCAACUGUCAACGUUGGCCACUCAAAUAAUGGAAUCCUGAUCACAUCUGCCUGAUGUGAUGCUCUGAGAAAGACUCAAGAUACCCGUGAAAUAUUGCUGCUCAGAAGAGUUAGAAUCUAACCACGAGGAAACAGAUUUGUCAAAUCCAGACUCGUUCUGCAGAUCAGCUGGCCCAGACUCUUCAAGAACGGUGAUGUCAUAAAGUACAAAAAAAGAGAAAGAAAAAAAUUGCAGCAGUUUUAUAUUAUUAAAAAGGCUUGAUUAUCAAAUACCAGCAUUGGUUUCUGAACUCUAACAGAAUACAUUAUUGUAUCAAUGCUACAGAGUCAACCCCCUCUGCUUUUGGCUUCCAACUAUGAAUCGAAAAUAUUCAAGGACGGAAAAAAAAAAAAAAAACCAACCUUGCAUCUGUAUGAACGUGGAGACAUUUUUCUUUGUCAUGAUUACCUGAAG